Molecule: ribosomal RNA, 250 nt
Filed under: uncultured bacterium
Lineage: Bacteria
Description: partial 16S ribosomal RNA
Rfam family: Bacterial small subunit ribosomal RNA
Source: RNAcentral
UACGAAAGGUGCAAGCGUUGUUCGGAUUUACUGGGCGUAAAGAGAUCGUAGGUGGUUUGUUAAGUCGGAUGUGAAAUCCCAGGGCUCAACCCUGGAACUGCAUUCGAUACUGGCAGACUAGAGUUUGGGAGGGGUAAGCGGAAUUCCGUGUGUAGCAGUGAAAUGCGUAGAUAUACGGAGGAACACCUGAGGCGAAGGCGGCUUACUGGACCAAUACUGACACUGAGGAUCGAAAGCGUGGGUAGCAAAC